CAAUCACGAGCACUGUCUAGCACAACACCUGGAGCUAAGGGGGCAAAACAAUCGCAUGAGUGCUGCUGUUUGACUGAGGAAGAAUAAAGUAGUCGUGGGGUUCACUAUCUUGGCCACAGAUACUUCAGCUGACUGGAGCAACCAGGGAUCGAACUAUCAACUGUCUUGAGCCACAGCCACCCAAAAACCAAAGACACAGAAUAGGUUCUAUUCAAGAUUUUUAUUUAUGUGUUUGCAUAAUUAUCUUACAUUGUUGAAACUAUUUCAAAAUAAGCUUGAGUCACUGAAAUCUAAUCCUAGCCUAAUAUUAUAUUCUGUAGUAAGUGUAGUAUAACUGAAGGCAAAUUAAAAGAUGCAUCUGUCCAAAUGCUGACAUGUUUUUAAAACCUUUCUCUUUAAAUGUUGAAGGUGUUUCUACAGAAGUACAAUAAAAAUAUAACAAUUAGACAAACAUUUAACUGAAACAUUUACUUGCAUAACACAGCAGCAUUCCUGCCGUUUGUGGUGUUUUGAAAAUGAACAAUUUUCAAACAAUACACACAAAUCUGGUUCAUACUGAGAUAUCAAAUGUUCUGUGAAGUAUAUUUAGUUUAGCUUUGGGUUGCUCCUAUAGCAUACCUGCAUUCCAUGUACUGAAGACUUAAUAUAUUUGAUUUUAUAUUAAAUUAAUGCCUUAUGAAAAAACUUAUGUUCUUGUAGAUAUAUGCCUGUUUGAUUUUUGUUUGACUAACUGGGUACAGCAGGGAUGGGUAGCACUGUCAGCACUGGAUUGGAGGCAGCAUACACAACUCAGAAGAACAUGAAUGUCACAGUUAGGAAAGUGAAACUCAAUUAUUGUGUAACUGAACGCCGUUAUCAAUGGUGGCAUCAUUUGCAAACACAGUCUGCUCUUUGCCAGCAAGUCGGAGACAUGAAAUCGCAGGCUAGCCUCCUUCCUGGCCCAAAUCUGAGCUGAAAUUGUGACCAAGCACAGUUUUGACUGAGUUUUGA
Long non-coding RNA from Oreochromis aureus, 990 nucleotides. The record is from Ensembl. NCBI's taxonomy places the organism in Eukaryota, Metazoa, Chordata, Actinopteri, Cichliformes, Cichlidae.